This 431-nucleotide ribosomal RNA is filed under the name uncultured bacterium. RNAcentral's name for it is "partial 16S ribosomal RNA". It matches the Rfam family "Bacterial small subunit ribosomal RNA", at positions 29 to 505 of the family's 1533-position model. The record is from RNAcentral.
AACGAACGCUGGCGGCAUGCCUAACACAUGCAAGUCGAACGAGACCUUCGGGUCUAGUGGCGCACGGGUGCGUAACGCGUGGGAACCUGCCCUUAGGUUCGGAAUGACUCCCCGAAAGGGGUGCUAAUACCGGAUAAUGUCUUCGGACCAAAGAUUUAUCGCCUUUGGAUGGGCCCGCGUUGGAUUAGCUAGUUGGUAGGGUAAAAGCCUACCAAGGCGACGAUCCAUAGCUGGUCUGAGAGGAUGAUCAGCCACACUGGGACUGAGACACGGCCCAGACUCCUACGGGAGGCAGCAGUGGGGAAUAUUGGACAAUGGGCGAAAGCCUGAUCCAGCAAUGCCGCGUGAGUGAUGAAGGCCUUAGGGUUGUAAAGCUCUUUUACCCGGGAUGAUAAUGACAGUACCGGGAGAAUAAGCUCCGGCUAACUCCG